RNAcentral lists this ribosomal RNA (820 nucleotides) under uncultured eukaryote. RNAcentral describes it as "SSU rRNA". It matches the Rfam family "Eukaryotic small subunit ribosomal RNA", at positions 629 to 1427 of the family's 1831-position model. The record is from RNAcentral.
CGGUGUUUAACUGGCGUGAUGUGGGACGUCCUACCGGUGGGCUUAGCCUCGCGAGGGGCGGCCCAACUAAUAUCCCGUCGCGGUGCUCUUUACUGAGUGUCGAGUCGGGCCGGUACGUUUACUUUGAACAAAUUAGAGUGCUUAAAGCAGGCUAUCCUCGCCUGAAUACUGCGUGCAUGGAAUAAUGGAAUAGGACCUCGGUUCUAUUUUGUUGGUUUUCGGAACCCCGAGGUAAUGAUUAAUAGGGACAGAUGGGGGCAUUCGUAUUGCGACGUUAGAGGUGAAAUUCUUGGAUCGUCGCAAGACGGACAGAAGCGAAAGCAUUUGCCAAAAAUGUUUUCAUUAAUCAAGAACGAAAGUUAGAGGUUCGAAGGCGAUCAGAUACCGCCCUAGUUCUAACCAUAAACGAUGCCAGCUAGCGAUCCGCCGAAGUUCCUCCGAUGACUCGGCGGGCAGCUUCCGGGAAACCAAAGCUUUUGGGUUCCGGGGGAAGUAUGGUUGCAAAGCUGAAACUUAAAGGAAUUGACAGAAGGGCACCACCAGGAGUGGAGCCUGCGGCUUAAUUUGACUCAACACGGGAAACCUCACCAGGCCCAGACACCGGAAGGAUUGACAGAUUGAUAGCUCUUUCUUGAUUCGGUGGGUGGUGGUGCAUGGCCGUUCUUAGUUGGUGGAGCGAUUUGUCUGGUUAAUUCCGAUAACGAACGAGACUCUAGCCUGCUAAAUAGGCGUACCUUAUGGUAUCGCGAAGGCCCCCGGCUUCGGCCGGUGGGUUUUUACUACCAACGUACAAACAAAUCUUCUUAGAGGGCACAGGCGG